UAGAUGUGUAGCACAAAAACAAACCAAAAUUUAAGUUGAGAUUGACAAUAUUUUCUCUAAUAGCAGCCAAAUUAGAAAAUAUGGAGAAAACGCUGUUUUUCACUAUAUAAAAUCCUAUGAAUCCGAAAUAAUAAACUCAAAAUAUGAUGAUGAUGGUUUCCAGCAAAAUAUUCUCUUCAGUUCAAUUUUUCACUCUUUUAUAUCUCUUUACAGUUACUUUUGCUUCCACUAAGGAAGCUACUGCACUCCUGAAAUGGAAAGCAACUUUCAAGAACUAGAAUAAUUCCUUAUUGGCUUCAUGGACGCCAAGUUCUAACGCAUGUAGGGACUGGUAUGGAGUUAUAUGCUUUAAUGGUAGGGUAAAUACGUUGAAUAUUACAAAUGCUAGUGUCAUUGGUACACUCUAUGCAUUUCCGUUUUCAUCUCUCCCUUCUCUUGAGAAUCUUGAUCUUAGCAUUAACAAUUUCUCUGGCACCAUUCCAGGAGAAAUAGGUUACUUGUGGUCUCUUACUGAACUAUAUUUGGGUUAUAACUCUCUUAAUGGUUCUAUUCCUUCUUCAUUGGGGAAUUUGAACAACUUGUCUAUUUUGGAUCUUUCUUAUAAUCAGCUUUCUGGCUCUAUUCCUUCUUCAUUGGGGAAUUUGAACAACUUGUCUAUUUUGUUUCUUUCUGAUAAUCAUCUUUCUGGCUCUAUUUCUUCUUCAUUGGGGAAUUUGAACAACUUGUCUAGUUUGGGUCUUUCUUAUAAUCAGCUUUCUGGCUCUAUUCCUUCUUCAUUGGGGAAUUUGAACAACUUGUCCAAUUUGGGUCUUUCUUAUAAUCAGCUUUCUGGCUCUAUUCCUUCUUCAUUGGGGAAUUUGAACAAGUUGUCUAGUUUGGAUCUUGAUACAAAUCAGCUUUCUGGUUCUAUUCCUGGAGAAUUAGGUUACUUGAGGUCUCUUACUGCACUAUCUUUGGGUAAUAACUCUCUUAAUGGUUCUAUUCCUUCUUCAUUGGGGAAUUUGAACAACUUGUCUAUUUUGUUUCUUGAAAGAAAUCAGCUUUCUGGUUCUAUUCCUUCUUCAUUGGGGAAUUUGAACAACUUGUCUAUUUUGUUUCUUAAUAUAAAUCAGCUUUCUGGUUCUAUUCCUUCUUCAUUGGGGAAUUUGAACAACUUGUUUAUUUUAUAUCUUUCUAAUAAUCAUCUUUCUGGUUCUAUUCCUUCUUCAUUGGGGAAUUUGAACUUCUUGUAUAGUUUGUAUCUUUUUAAUAAUAAUCUUUCUGGCUCUAUUCCUGAAGAAUUUGGUUACUUGAGGUCUCUUACUACACUAUCUUUGUCUAAUAACUCUCUUAAUGGUUCUAUUCCUGAAGAAUUUGGUUACUUGAGGUCUCUUACUAUACUAUAUUUGUCUAAUAACUCUCUUAAUGGUUCUAUUCCUUCUUCAUUGGGGAAUUUGACAAAUUUGGAAGCUCUGUUUCUCAAUGAUAACAAUCUCACUGAGGAAUUUCCUUCAUUUGUGUGCAAUUUAACAUCACUGCAAGUGUUGUAUAUGACGAGAAACAACUUGAAGGGAAAAGUCCCCCAAUGUUUGGGUAAUAUCAGUGACCUCCAGAUUUUGUCAAUGUCACAUAAUCAUCUCAGAGGAGAGAUCCCUUCAUCUAUUUCCAAGUUAACAUCACUACAAAUUCUGGAUUUGGGCAGAAACAAUCUGGAGGGAGCAAUUCCACAAUGUGUUGGCAAUAUUAGUAGCCUCCAGGUUUUUGAUAUGCAGAACAACAAACUUUCUGGGACUCUUCCAACAAAUUUUAGCAUUGGAAGUUCACUUAUAAGUCUCAACUUGCAUGGAAAUGAACUAGAGGGGAAAAUCCCUCGACCUUUAGCCAGUUGCAAGAAGUUGCAAGUUCUUGAUCUAGGAAAUAAUCAUCUCAAUGACACAUUCCCCGUGUGGUUGGGAACUUUGACAGAGCUUAGAGUUUUAAGAUUGGCAUCGAAUAAAUUGCAUGGACCCAUAAGAUCUUUAGGGGAUGAAAUCAUGUUUCCUGAUCUUCGAAUCAUAGAUCUCUCUUACAAUGCCUUCUCGAAAGACUUACCAACGAGUCUAUUUCAACAUUUGAAAGGGAUGAGGAGAAUUGAUCGAACAAUUGAGGUACCAAGAUAUGCAGGAGGUAGAUAUUACGAAGACUCGGUAGUUAUUGGAACAAAGGGAUUGGAGUUUGAAGUUGUGAGAAUUUUGUCUUUGUACACAGUUAUCGAUCUUUCAAGCAACAAAUUUGAAGGACAUAUUCCUAGUGUUCUCGGAGAUCUCAUUGGUCUUCGGGUGUUGAAUAUGUCUCACAAUAGAUUGAAAGGUCCUAUACCACCAUCACUUGGAAGUUUAUCUGUAGUGGAAUCACUGGACCUUUCGUUUAACCAGCUUUCGGGAGAGAUACCACAACAACUUGCUUUUCUUACGUCUCUUGAAUUCUUAAAUCUCUCUCACAAUUAUCUCCAAGGAUGCAUCCCUCAAGGACCUCAAUUUAAUACCUUUGAGAACAAUUCAUAUGAAGUUAAUGAUGGAUUACGUGGAUUCCCCGUUUCAAAAGGUUGUGGCAAUGAUCCUGUGUCAGAGACAAAUUAUACAGUAUCUGCGCUAGACAAUCAAGAAAGCAAUUCUGAAUUUCUCAAUGAUUUUUGGAAAGCUGCUCUGAUGGGCUAUGGCAGUGGACUAUGUAUUGGAUUAUCCAUUAUAUAUUUCAUGAUCUCAACUGGAAAUCUGAAAUGGCUUGCAAGAAUCAUUGAAGAACUGGAACACAAAAUUACCACGCGAAGGAGAAAGAAGCAGCGCGGUCAAAGGAAUUACAGGAGAAGAAAUAAUCGCUUCUAGACAAGUUACCAAUAGAGAAGGAUUUGAUUUCAGAACUUCAGAUGCCAAGAAUAAGUAGACGGCGGCGUAAUGGAUUUGGUUCUUCCUGCAGCUUAUGAUAUAGGAUUUGAUUUAUAGUUUCUUUUUAGUUUUAUAAGCAAGCUUUUUCUUCACUUGGGAAAAUGUAACAUAAUGAAUUUUGAUGAUAUAUCAAGUUUAUGUAAUAUUUUAACGUAUUCAAUAAAUGUUGUGUGUACUGAAUGAAGUGUAAGCAUUUCUCUGA
Molecule: RNA transcript, 3105 nt
Organism: Solanum dulcamara
Lineage: Eukaryota; Viridiplantae; Streptophyta; Magnoliopsida; Solanales; Solanaceae
Gene name: receptor-like protein Cf-9 homolog
Exons: 2
Source: RefSeq, a predicted model, not a curated record